UCCCUGGAGGACUAGUGGUUAGGCCACAGCGCUCUCACUACCAUAGCCGGGUUCGAUUCCCGGCCAGGGAA
This is a non-coding RNA of Pangasianodon gigas (Mekong giant catfish), 71 nucleotides long. NCBI's taxonomy places the organism in Eukaryota, Metazoa, Chordata, Actinopteri, Siluriformes, Pangasiidae. The record is from the annotation of a GenBank genome assembly.